ACGGGACGCCUUAGAGGGUGAGAGCCCCGUACGGUUGGACACUAAGCCUUUGUAAAGCUCCUUCGACGAGUCGAGUAGUUUGGGAAUGCUGCUCUAAAUGGGAGGUAAAUUUCUUCUAAAGCUAAAUACCGGCCAGAGACCGAUAGCGCACAAGUAGAGUGAUCGAAAGAUGAAAAGCACUUUGAAAAGAGGGUUAAAUAGCACGUGAAAUUGUUGAAAGGGAAGCGUUUACGACCAGACUUUCUCUAGGUGGAUCAUCCGGUGUUCUCACUGGUGCACUUCGCCUAGUUUAGGCCAGCAUCGGUUUUCGUAGGGGGAUAAAAGCUUGGGGAAAGUAGCUCUCUCGGGAGUGUUAUAGCCCUUUGUAUAAUACCUUUAUGGGGACCGAGGAUCGCGCUCUGCAAGGAUGCUGGCAUAAUGGUCGUCAACGACCCGUCUUGAAACACGGACCAAGGAGUCGAACAUUUGUGCGAGUGUUUGGGUGUUAAACCCUCACGCGUAAUGAAAGUGAACGGAGGUGAGAGCCUUUACGGGUGCAUCAUCGACCGAUCCUGAUGUCUUCGGAUGGAUUUGAGUAAGAGCAUAACUGUUCGGACCCGAAAGAUGGUGAACUAUGCGUGGAUAGGGUGAAGCCAGAGGAAACUCUGGUGGAGGCUCGCAGCGGUUCUGACGUGCAAAUCGAUCGUCAAAUCUGCGCAUGGGGGCGAAAGACUAAUCGAACCAU
This 724-nucleotide ribosomal RNA is filed under the name Induratia apiospora. RNAcentral's name for it is "partial large subunit ribosomal RNA". It matches the Rfam family "Eukaryotic large subunit ribosomal RNA", at positions 195 to 943 of the family's 3401-position model. The record is from RNAcentral. Lineage: Eukaryota; Fungi; Ascomycota; Sordariomycetes; Xylariales; Barrmaeliaceae.